This 776-nucleotide ribosomal RNA is filed under the name uncultured Neocallimastigales. Its description in RNAcentral is "partial large subunit ribosomal RNA". It matches the Rfam family "Eukaryotic large subunit ribosomal RNA", at positions 18 to 644 of the family's 3401-position model. Lineage: Eukaryota; Fungi; Neocallimastigomycota; Neocallimastigomycetes; Neocallimastigales. The record is from RNAcentral.
UCAGACGAUGCGUCAUGCAUAUCAAUAAGCGGAGGAAAAGAAACUAACAAGGAUUCCCUUAGUAACGGCGAGUGAAGCGGGAAGAGCUCAAAUUUGAAAUCUUCAAGGUUUUACCUUGACGAAUUGUAGUUUAAAGAAGUGUUUUCUGCUGAAGUUUUGGUAAAAGUUCUUUGGAAUAGGACAUCAUAGAGGGUGAGAAUCCCGUAUUUGACCAUUACUUUCAACUUUGUGAUACACUUUCAAAGAGUCGGAUUGUUUGGGAAUGCAGUCCAAAAUGGGUGGUAAAUUUCAUCUAAAGCUAAAUAUUGGCGAGAGACCGAUAGCGAACAAGUACCGUGAGGGAAAGAUGAAAAGAACUUUGAAAAGAGAGUUAAACAGUACGUGAAAUUGUCAAAAGGGAAGCGUUUGACACCAGUGUUGUUUUCUCGAAAAUCAAUUAAAAAUGGCUCGAUUUUGUAUUGCUUGAGACCUUAAAAGCUCACUGUACAUUUUUCGUGUCUUUUUUAAUGCACUUUUCGUUUAACAAGUCAACAUCAGUUUCUUUUGUUGUAAAAGGGUCAUUGGAAGGUGGCUUUCUUUUCGGAGAAAGUGUUUAUAGCCUUUGGCCUCUGCAAUCGGAAGAGACUGAGGUCUGCAGCGUAGACUCUUCGGGGUUAGAUACAUUUGUGCUAAGUUAUAGCUUUUUAUAGACAACUUGUUGACUAUAAUUAGUCUUGUAGCUUACUCGCUUAUGCUAUUUUACCUACGCUUAGGAUGUUGACUGAUAUGUAGUCGUA